UGACUGUACCUAAGGAAUAAGUUCCGGCUAACUUCGUGCCAGCAGCCGCGGUUAUACGAAGGGACCUAGCGUAGUUCGGAAUUACUGGGCGUAAAGCGCGCGUAGGCCGUUGAGUUAGUUAAUUGUGAAUCCCAAAGCUUAACUUGGAACUGCAAUUAAACUGCUCGACUAGAGUUUGAUAGAGGAAAGCGGAAUACAUAGUGUAGAGGUGAAAUUCGUAGAUAUUAUGUAGAACACCAGUGGCGAAGGCGGCUUUCUGGAUCAACACUGACGCUGAGGCGCGAAAGUAUGGGUAGCAAAGAGGAUUAGAUACCCUCGUAGUCCAUACCAUAAACGAUGAUUGCUAGAUGUUGGAAAUUUAUUUUCAGUAUCGCAGCUAACGCAUUAAGCAAUCCGCCUGGGGAGUACGACCGCAAGGUUAAAACUCAAAUGAAUUGACGGGGACCCGCACAAGCGGUGGAGCAUGUGGUUUAAUUCGAAGAUACGCGCAGAACCUUACCAACCCUUGACAUGUCUGUCGCGAGUUUAGGAAACUAGACUUUUCGGUUCGGCCGGACAGAACACAGGUGCUGCAUGGCUGUCGUCAGC
This 588-nucleotide ribosomal RNA is filed under the name uncultured bacterium. RNAcentral's name for it is "bacterial SSU rRNA". It matches the Rfam family "Bacterial small subunit ribosomal RNA", at positions 470 to 1059 of the family's 1533-position model. The record is from RNAcentral.